Molecule: non-coding RNA, 90 nt
Organism: Mycena epipterygia
Lineage: Eukaryota; Fungi; Basidiomycota; Agaricomycetes; Agaricales; Mycenaceae
Source: the annotation of a GenBank genome assembly
GACUCGGUGGCGGAUGGUCCGCGUCUGCGCCUGCUGAGCGCCCCUGACAUAUUUCAGCGGAAGGCGUCUGUUCGAAUGAGGCUCGAGUCA